Molecule: long non-coding RNA, 242 nt
Organism: Stegostoma tigrinum
Lineage: Eukaryota; Metazoa; Chordata; Chondrichthyes; Orectolobiformes; Stegostomatidae
Exons: 3
Source: RefSeq, a predicted model, not a curated record
GUUCCCUCAUUAUGCUCCACAAAGCAGACAAUCAGACAGAUUCAUCUGUGAAAAAUCUCACUCCUCUUCCAGUUUGUGCCUACUGGGAAACAGCAUCACCUGCGUCUCAAAUACUGGGAUUGCACAUGGUGCCAAGAAAAAUCUUAGCCUCCAGACCAGCCACCAAUCGAGGGGUCCCCGAUGUGCAGCAGGAUUUUGGAUGACAUUCAAAAGAGCUGAGGCCAUGCCACCUCAAACAGUCC